This 322-nucleotide ribosomal RNA is filed under the name uncultured Prevotella sp. RNAcentral describes it as "bacterial SSU rRNA". It matches the Rfam family "Bacterial small subunit ribosomal RNA", at positions 28 to 339 of the family's 1533-position model. Lineage: Bacteria; Pseudomonadati; Bacteroidota; Bacteroidia; Bacteroidales; Prevotellaceae. The record is from RNAcentral.
GAUGAACGCUAGCUACAGGCUUAACACAUGCAAGUCGAGGGGUAACGGGCAUCAGUGCUUGCACUGUUGUGCUGACGACCGGCGCACGGGUGAGUAACGCGUAUCCAACCUUCCCCCCAGUAGGGCAUAGCCCGGCGAAAGUCGGAUUAAUACCCUAUGUUCUUCGUAGAGGACAUCUGAAAUGAAGCAAAGAUUUAUCGCUAGGGGAUGGGGAUGCGUCUGAUUAGGUUGAUGGCGGGGUAACGGCCCACCAUGCCGACGAUCAGUAGGGGUUCUGAGAGGAAGGUCCCCCACAUUGGUACUGAGACACGGACCAAACUCC